CCGCCAUUAGCUCAACUGGAUAGAGCAUAGAGCCACCCUUCUAAGGUUCGGGGUUCAAUUCCUCGAUGGCGGACCA
This 76-nucleotide transfer RNA is filed under the name Salmonella enterica subsp. enterica. RNAcentral describes it as "tRNA-OTHER". It matches the Rfam family "tRNA". Rfam says of the family: Transfer RNA (tRNA) molecules are approximately 80 nucleotides in length. Their secondary structure includes four short double-helical elements and three loops (D, anti-codon, and T loops). The record is from RNAcentral. Lineage: Bacteria; Pseudomonadati; Pseudomonadota; Gammaproteobacteria; Enterobacterales; Enterobacteriaceae.